Molecule: ribosomal RNA, 439 nt
Filed under: uncultured bacterium
Lineage: Bacteria
Description: partial 16S ribosomal RNA
Rfam family: Bacterial small subunit ribosomal RNA
Source: RNAcentral
CUACGGGAGGCUGCAGUGGGGAAUAUUGCACAAUGGAGGAAACUCUGAUGCAGCAACGCCGCGUGGAGGAUGACACUUUUCGGAGCGUAAACUCCUUUUAUAUAGGAAGAAGAUGACGGUACUAUAUGAAUAAGCGCCGGCUAACUCCGUGCCAGCAGCCGCGGUAAUACGGAGGGCGCAAGCGUUACUCGGAAUCACUGGGCGUAAAGAGCGUGUAGGCGGAUUAAAAAGUCAGAGGUGAAAUCCUAUAGCUUAACUAUGGAACUGCUUCUGAAACUCUUAAUCUAGAAUAUGGGAGAGGUAGAUGGAAUUUCUGGUGUAGGGGUAAAAUCCGUAGAGAUCAGAAGGAAUACCGAUUGCGAAGGCGAUCUACUAGAACAUUAUUGACGCUGAGACGCGAAAGCGUGGGGAGCAAACAGGAUUAGAUACCCUCGUAGUC